CGGCGCUCCAAACCUCCUCCCCAGAGACGCGGACGGCUGCUGAGCAGGAGACGAACUCUGCCCUCCGUGGCCCCGCGGUCGCAGUCAACUUUCGCCUUGAACGCAAUCGAGACCCGGCAUCCCGUCUGGCGGCCGCCCACAGCGGACGUCCCCUUACUUCCAGACCCUCGCCGUGGCCGACUCGCAGCGCCAGCGCCCCGAGCCGGCCUCCCUGAGCUCGCAGGAGGAUCUCGAGCUUAUUACAGUUGGCCAACUCGGAAUUGGAGCUGGGGCAAACGUCUCCAAGUCAGCAGCCUCUCACCACCGCUUCCUCUUCACCUACGGGGUUGUUGACCGGGACCCCGCCUCCCGGGGCUGACUGAAGGCGGGUCUCCCCCUCGUCCUCUCCUUCGUCAAAGGUCGUCUCAGGUG
Lethenteron reissneri (Far Eastern brook lamprey) is the source of this 411-nucleotide long non-coding RNA. RefSeq lists it as uncharacterized. NCBI's taxonomy places the organism in Eukaryota, Metazoa, Chordata, Hyperoartia, Petromyzontiformes, Petromyzontidae. The record is from RefSeq and is a predicted model, not a curated record.